AUUGAACGCUGGCGGCAGGCCUAACACAUGCAAGUCGAACGAGUGGCGGACGGGUGAGUAAUGUCUGGGAAACUGCCUGAUGGAGGGGGAUAACUACUGGAAACGGUAGAUAAUACCGCAUACUAUCGGAUGUGCCCAGAUGGGAUGAGCUAGCAGGGGGGGUAACGGCACACCAAGGCGACGAUCCCUAGCUGGUCUGGGAGGAUGACCAGCCACACUGGAACUGAGACACGGUCCAUACUCCUACGGGAGGCAGCAGUGAGGAAUAUUGCGCAAUGGGCACAAGCCUGAUGCAGCCAUGCCGCAUGUAUGAAGAAGGCCUUCAGGUUGUAAAGUACUUUCAGCGGGGAGGCGUUACCCGCAGAAGAAGCACCGGCUAACUCCGUGCCAGCAGCCGCGGUAAUUC
This 406-nucleotide ribosomal RNA is filed under the name uncultured bacterium. RNAcentral describes it as "partial 16S ribosomal RNA". It matches the Rfam family "Bacterial small subunit ribosomal RNA", at positions 30 to 526 of the family's 1533-position model. The record is from RNAcentral.